RNAcentral lists this transfer RNA (66 nucleotides) under Anatolichthys danfordii. RNAcentral's name for it is "Aphanius danfordii tRNA-Cys". It matches the Rfam family "tRNA". Rfam says of the family: Transfer RNA (tRNA) molecules are approximately 80 nucleotides in length. Their secondary structure includes four short double-helical elements and three loops (D, anti-codon, and T loops). Further hydrogen bonds mediate the characteristic L-shaped molecular structure. tRNAs have two regions of fundamental functional importance: the anti-codon, which is responsible for specific mRNA codon recognition, and the 3' end, to which the tRNAs corresponding amino acid is attached (by aminoacyl-tRNA synthetases). tRNAs cope with the degeneracy of the genetic code in two manners: having more than one tRNA (with a specific anti-codon) for a particular amino acid; and 'wobble' base-pairing, i.e. permitting non-standard base-pairing at the 3rd anti-codon position. The record is from RNAcentral. Lineage: Eukaryota; Metazoa; Chordata; Actinopteri; Cyprinodontiformes; Aphaniidae.
AGCCUUGAGGUGUUUACAUAUCGGAUUGCAAAUCCGAAGUAGCAGGGUAAAACCUGCCGGGGCUUU